This 74-nucleotide transfer RNA is filed under the name Ipomoea nil (Japanese morning glory). It matches the Rfam family "tRNA". From Rfam's summary of the family: Transfer RNA (tRNA) molecules are approximately 80 nucleotides in length. Their secondary structure includes four short double-helical elements and three loops (D, anti-codon, and T loops). Further hydrogen bonds mediate the characteristic L-shaped molecular structure. tRNAs have two regions of fundamental functional importance: the anti-codon, which is responsible for specific mRNA codon recognition, and the 3' end, to which the tRNAs corresponding amino acid is attached (by aminoacyl-tRNA synthetases). tRNAs cope with the degeneracy of the genetic code in two manners: having more than one tRNA (with a specific anti-codon) for a particular amino acid; and 'wobble' base-pairing, i.e. permitting non-standard base-pairing at the 3rd anti-codon position. The record is from Rfam by way of RNAcentral. Lineage: Eukaryota; Viridiplantae; Streptophyta; Magnoliopsida; Solanales; Convolvulaceae.
GGUUUUGUAGCUCAAUUGGUUAAAACAUUGGUCUUAUGAGCUAAAAGUCGUGGGUUCAAGCUCUACUAAGACCA